RNAcentral lists this microRNA precursor (87 nucleotides) under Human alphaherpesvirus 2. RNAcentral describes it as "microRNA hsv2-mir-H23 precursor". Its record names the gene hsv2-mir-H23. The record is from miRBase by way of RNAcentral. Lineage: Duplodnaviria; Heunggongvirae; Peploviricota; Herviviricetes; Herpesvirales; Orthoherpesviridae.
CGUCCGACGGAGAGGCCGUGGAGCUUGCCAGCGAGACGCUCAUGAAACGCGAGUUGACGAGCUUCGCGGUACUACUCCCCCAGGGCG